Molecule: ribosomal RNA, 779 nt
Filed under: uncultured bacterium
Lineage: Bacteria
Description: bacterial SSU rRNA
Rfam family: Bacterial small subunit ribosomal RNA
Source: RNAcentral
AGAGUUUGAUCAUGGCUCAGGACGAACGCUGGCGGCGUGCCUAACACAUGCAAGUCGAGCGAUGCGAUCCUUCGGGAUCAAUUAGCGGCGGACGGGUGAGUAACACGUGGGUAACCUGCCUCAAAGAGGGGAAUAGCCUCCCGAAAGGGAGAUUAAUACCGCAUAAUAUGUUUUAGUCGCAUGACUGAAACAUCAAAGGAUUCUCUUCGGAGAUUCCACUUUGAGAUGGACCCGCGGCGCAUUAGCUAGUUGGUGAGGUAACGGCUCACCAAGGCAACGAUGCGUAGCCGACCUGAGAGGGUGAUCGGCCACAUUGGAACUGAGACACGGUCCAGACUCCUACGGGAGGCAGCAGUGGGGAAUAUUGCGCAAUGGGGGAAACCCUGACGCAGCAACGCCGCGUGAAUGAUGAAGGCCUUCGGGUUGUAAAGUUCUGUCUUCUGGGACGAUAAUGACGGUACCAGAGGAGGAAGCCACGGCUAACUACGUGCCAGCAGCCGCGGUAAUACGUAGGUGGCAAGCGUUGUCCGGAUUUACUGGGCGUAAAGGAUGCGUAGGCGGACAUUUAAGUCAGAUGUGAAAUACCCGAGCUUAACUUGGGUGCUGCAUUUGAAACUGGGUGUCUAGAGUGCAGGAGAGGUAAGUGGAAUUCCUAGUGUAGCGGUGAAAUGCGUAGAGAUUAGGAAGAACACCAGUGGCGAAGGCGACUUACUGGACUGUAACUGACGCUGAGGCAUGAAAGCGUGGGGAGCAAACAGGAUUAGAUACCCUAGUAGUCC